This 2960-nucleotide long non-coding RNA is filed under the name Helianthus annuus (common sunflower). Its description in RNAcentral is "hypothetical non coding rna". Lineage: Eukaryota; Viridiplantae; Streptophyta; Magnoliopsida; Asterales; Asteraceae. The record is from RNAcentral.
UCAGGGCAAGAUGAUCGAGAGAUCUGAUUCUCUGUUUUUGUAAGUUGUUUUCCUUUUGUUGUUUGAUUAUACAUUGAUCCUUUCUAAAAGCCGUUGAUCCCUGUAUUUUCUGGUUUGAACGUGUUUUGAUCAUUUUUUUUAUAUUUGAAUUGUGUAUUUUCUGGGUUGAACGCGUUCUGAUCAUUUUUUUAUAUCCGACUUGUGCGUUAGCCAUCAGUCCGCUCACUGUACACAUCGAUCUCUCUUUGCUCUAUGUGGAUCGGAUCAUAACAUGUUGAUUCUUCAUAGGUAUGGUCAAAUCAAUAUUUUCAUAUCAUUAUGUUAUAUUGUUUUUUAGAUUAUGAAUAUGUAUUUUGAAUGUUAACAUCCACUUUUAUUUCAUACUUGGUUAAUUUUCUGAUUAUAUUAACCAUUCUUAUUAAAAGCAAGUUAUUUUGAUGUUGACUUAUUCAGAUUAGGAGAAAUAAAAAUCCAACAAAAUGUAUCUUUAUAUAUAUUAUAAUUCUUUUAAAUUAUUCAGCUGUUUGGUACCUAGUGGUUUUUGUUAUCCUGAAAUAAAUACUGAAUAUGUUGGGCUUUGAUUGUGUUAAAGUCUUCUUUUGUUCUUUCUAAGAUAAUAAGAUAUUAAAAUGUAUUUCUUGCAUCUUUUUUGCACCUGUCACAGGUAUCUCGCCUUCUCCAAGUACAGAGGUCUUAAAGGACGUAAAUUUUCAGAGAAUUUCAGUUGAUGAUUAUGGAGAGCAUUGUCAUUGCAAGGAAGGGCCUUCUUUGUGUGCGUGUUGGGAAAGGUUAUCUUAAUAUACUGCCUACUUCGUCUAAGUUUUAAGAAUUUUUCAAAUAAAUAAAACAUUAAAUAGGACUGCAAAAUCUAUAUUUAUGAAAAUAGUAAUUCUAUGAUUUUGAAAAUAAAUUUUGGACUCUGUAAGCCCCUAUGUAUACUUUGGAACGGUUCAACCCAUUUUCAUUUUAUUGAUCCUAGAAUGGGAUGAUUCCGGUUAUGAUUUAUCUCUAACAAGUCAAAUAGGCAAAUAACAUGAAGUUUUGUAAAGCAAACGUCGCCAAAAGUGUAUUCAGUUAUCAUGCAACCUCCUAAAAUCAUUUUAUUGAAAUUAAAUACUAUUAUAUUGAAGUAAUACAACCAUAACUGACACCUAGUAUAUAUAAAAACAGACAAAAAUAUUUUCUCGAUCAACCUGAUCUUGUACCAAAAAAUGAUCUGUUUGACCUGAAAUUUUACGAAAUCGUCGGUUUUGCCCCCCUAGGUAUCCUUUGAAAUUUAUUAAAUUUUUCAACUAAUGAUCUGAUAUUUGGCAGGCUCUACUGCAAAAUGAAGCUUUUUUUCAACAGCUUCUUUUACUACCCAAACCUUUUCGCUGCUGUUAACGAUGGUGGGGGAUCUGGCAACAAUUUUGCUAGUUUUGCCAGUUUUGCGGCACCACCACCCACCACCAAUCUGGUAUAAUUUUUUUUAUUGUUCUUUAAUUAAUUUAUUCCUUUAUGUUAGAAAAUUGUGCAUGGGUUGAUCAUUAAUUAUUUUUGAUCAACCAGCGCGUUGGGACAUGGAGGCGCGGUGGUGUGAGGGCCUAGUACCGUUUUCACGGCGGAAUUUGCGAUGGAUUUUGUGGAUUAGCUUUUCGUAAUACUGUAGACUACACCGUGGCUCGUCCGCUACAACUGUUUGAUGCUUUGGAUCCGAUUAACUUUCAGGUCUCUUUAUUAAUUUCUGUACUGAAUUUAGUUUUUUUUUUAAAUUUUUUUAUUUUAUAAAAAUACAAUCAUUUCUCUUUCAUUUGUUUUAGAUGACAAAUUGACAAUUGAUCAUGGUGGCUUUGUGAACAUUCCGAUGAUCGAACCGUCAUGUCUGCCGGAGGAGGCAAGCAGUGGAAUCGGCGUGUUCUUACCGGCAUAUCUGAGGAGGAUCCGUGGUAGAAAAGGUGAUGGUGUGAACAACAAUAAUUGUUAUAAUAAAUCUAGUUGACAAUAAUCUACUCUUUAUUCUUAAUAAAACCCAUAAAAUCUAUACAAAAAUAUAAAUAAUUAAACGAGUUUAGAAAUACUGCUAAUAAAUGUGUUAUUUUGAAUUUGAAAGACUUAUUUCUAAAAUGAAAGAAAUAAAUACUAUCUCACAUUUUUUGUGUUUACUUUUAUGCUAGUAGAAGUGUACGGUUGUAUUGUUGAACAAAUACAAACUGUGUUAUACAUCACAACUAUUUUUUUCACAACUAUAAUGCAUGUAAGAUAAAAAUAAGACAUAAAAACUAAGGCAAACUAUGUGAGUUUCUCUCUUAUGGAUUUCACAUGAUUAUUAAAAAUCCAACAAAAUGUAUCUUUAUAUAUAUUAUAUUUCUGUGAUAUUUGGCAGGCUCUACUGCAAAAUGAUGCUUUUUUUUUUAUCUGGAGCAUGAUCUUGCAACAAGAUUUACCUCUUCUUGCUCAACUUUUUCAAAGAUUUGUAUUUCAAAGGCGCAGAGUUCUCUUCACCUAGCUUCAUUUGGGGAUGAAGAAGCUUUGAUCGGAGACGAUGAUGAAUUCAGCUCAAAAUCCAACUUCUUCUGCCAAUCAUCAGUGGAUCUAGGUAACCUGCAGAAGGAUUCUGGUUAGCGUCUCCUGGAUCUGAAGAUUCAUCAUCUUCAUCCACAUGCAUUGCUCGAACUGGAUCAACUUUCAUGCACCUCAAUAGAUGUUGUUUCCCCUACAUCAACCCUGUAGGGAAAGUGAAAUUGUGAAGGAGUUUUAGAUCGCUCCAUCCACAAGAUUUAAAUGUUGGAGAUAGUAUCUUCUGGGAGAUUUUUGUGCUUUGAAGAGCUGGGCUGAUUAUUCAACCUAGGAGUGCUUUGUAGCGUCUCCUGGAUUUAAAUGUUGUAGAUAAUGUUUUCAUUUUUGUUUACUUCUUCAUUGUUGUAUGUUUUGUUGGUUCUCUUAGUAAGAUGUAUUGAUAACAUAUAAAGUAAUUUUUUAUU